CCUGCUCCCUACCCCACCCCGUGAGGCUGCUGUGUCACAUGUGGGUUAGUAGGUGGCAGAGAAAAGAGGGGCUGUGUCUACACUCGUGUUCUGACCUAUGAACAUCUGAAUGAUUAGUAGCGUAAGAGU
Small nucleolar RNA from Apodemus sylvaticus (European woodmouse), 129 nucleotides. RefSeq annotates it as small nucleolar RNA SNORA17. The transcript has a single exon. Lineage: Eukaryota; Metazoa; Chordata; Mammalia; Rodentia; Muridae. The record is from RefSeq and is a predicted model, not a curated record.